GACGAACGCUGGCGGCGUGCUUAACACAUGCAAGUCGAACGGAAAGGCCCUGCUUUUGUUGGGUGCUCUAGUGGCGAACGGGUGAGUAACACGUGAGUAACCUGCCCUUGACUUUGGGAUAACUUCAGGAAACUGGGGCUAAUACCGGAUAGGAGCUCCUGCUGCAUGGUGGGGGUUGGUAAGUUUCGGCGGUUGGUGAUGGACUCGCGGCUUAUCAGCCUGUUGGUGGGGUAGUGGCUUACCAAGGCUUUGACGGGUAGCCGGCCUGAGAGGGUGACCGGCCACGUUGGGACUGAGAUGCGGGCCAGCGUGCUAGGGGAGGCAGCAGUGGGGAAUAUUGCACAAUGGGCGGAAGCCUGAUGCAACAACGCCGCGUGCGGGAUGAAGGCCUUCGGGUUGUAAACCGCUUUCGCCUGUGACGAAGCGUGAGUGACGGUAAUGGGUAAAGAAGCACCGGCUAACUACGUG
RNAcentral lists this ribosomal RNA (468 nucleotides) under uncultured bacterium. Its description in RNAcentral is "partial 16S ribosomal RNA". It matches the Rfam family "Bacterial small subunit ribosomal RNA", at positions 28 to 507 of the family's 1533-position model. The record is from RNAcentral.